UCUACGGGUGGCUGCAGUGGGGAAUAUUGGGCAAUGGGCGCAAGCCUGACCCAGCAACGCCGCGUGAAGGAAGAAGGCUUUCGGGUUGUAAACUUCUUUUGUCAGGGACGAAGCAAGUGACGGUACCUGACGAAUAAGCCACGGCUAACUACGUGCCAGCAGCCGCGGUAAUACGUAGGUGGCAAGAGUUAUCCGGAUUUACUGGGUGGAAAGGGCGUGUAGGCGGGACUGCAAGUCAGAUGUGAAAACCACGGGCUCAACCUGUGGCCUUGAUUUGAAACUGUAGUUCUUGAGUACUGGAGAGGCAGACGGAAUUCCUAGUGUAGCGGUGAAAUGCGUAGAUAUUAGGAGGAACACCAGUGGCGAAGGCGGUCUGCUGGACAGCAACUGACGCUGAGGCGCGAAAGCGUGGGGAGCAAACAGGAUUAGAUACCCGAGUAGUC
This 443-nucleotide ribosomal RNA is filed under the name uncultured bacterium. RNAcentral's name for it is "partial 16S ribosomal RNA". It matches the Rfam family "Bacterial small subunit ribosomal RNA", at positions 338 to 795 of the family's 1533-position model. The record is from RNAcentral.